AGGCUCGCGACUCCCCGCCCCCCGGCCCCGGUCACUCGCUUUCGCGGUGGGCGGCUCCCGCUCAGUCCACACCCCUGCCCCGCCCACUCCCCUCCCGAAGGAAACUCCGAGACCCCGAAAGGGGUGACUCAACCGUGAUUCAACAGCGGCCGCCGAGCAGCGAGCUGCCCCUUCGGCGCAGGCGGAUCCAGGUAAAAGGCAAAAUAUGAGAAAAGGCCGGAGGAAUUUCAGAGUUAGUGAGAACGCAGAGUUCUGAGUUGGGAGAAAAAGUGACUCAGCAAAACUGAAGAAACAUCUGGCAGGAGUUCUACCUUCCCUGCCAGCAUGUGAAGAUACAAAGAAAAGGUGGUCAUGAGUAAACCGAAUCAGGAAGACAGACUUUGGUAGACACCAAAUUGAACAGAAUCAUAAUCUUGGACAUAUGAGUCUGCUGGACCACUAGACAGAGAGUUCUGCUGUAAAGCCCCUCACUGUGUAGAACUGAUGUGAUGUCAGAGACAACUACAAAGACACAGGACCGUGUUACGGAGGGUGCUUGUGAUGUCUUGGCUGUGAACGGCUUCUCAGAAUUUUGUAAACUUUAUGGACAGCUGUUCAAGAGAGCACAUGGCGAGUCUUAAGCUCGGACCUUCCCUCCAGCAACUGGCAGCCAGAUCUCCAAGUUCAAGGCUGUCCUGGUCUAUAAAGUAAGUUCCAGGAUAGCCAGGGCUACAUAGAGAAACCCUGUCUCAAAAACACAAACCAACCAACCAAGGAAAGGGGAGGAAAGAAAGUAAAAAAGGAGAGAAAAAGUUAAGUGUUUGUCUUUCCUAUCACUAGGGAAUAAUAAAGAUCCUGGUUUGCAUAACUUAAUAAAUAUUUAUUGAGAGAUUACUAUGUAA
Long non-coding RNA from Mastomys coucha (southern multimammate mouse), 881 nucleotides. RefSeq lists it as uncharacterized. The transcript is spliced from 3 exons. NCBI's taxonomy places the organism in Eukaryota, Metazoa, Chordata, Mammalia, Rodentia, Muridae. The record is from RefSeq and is a predicted model, not a curated record.